AGUGAACGCUGGCGGUAGGCCUAACACAUGCAAGUCGAACGGCAGCACAGUAAGAGCUUGCUCUUACGGGUGGCGAGUGGCGGACGGGUGAGGAAUACAUCGGAAUCUACUUUUUCGUGGGGGAUAACGUAGGGAAACUUACGCUAAUACCGCAUACGACCUACGGGUGAAAGCAGGGGAUCUUCGGACCUUGCGCGAUUGAAUGAGCCGAUGUCGGAUUAGCUAGUUGGCGGGGUAAAGGCCCACCAAGGCGACGAUCCGUAGCUGGUCUGAGAGGAUGAUCAGCCACACUGGAACGGAGACACGGUCCAGACUCCUACGGGAGGCAGCAGUGGGGAAUAUUGGACAAUGGGCGCAAGCCUGAUCCAGCCAUACCGCGUGGGUGAAGAAGGCCUUCGGGUUGUAAAGCCCUUUUGUUGGGAAAGAAAGGCAGCAGGUUAAUACCCCGCUGUUCUGACGGUACCCAAAGAAUAAGCACCGGCUAACUUCGUG
Molecule: ribosomal RNA, 492 nt
Filed under: uncultured bacterium
Lineage: Bacteria
Description: partial 16S ribosomal RNA
Rfam family: Bacterial small subunit ribosomal RNA
Source: RNAcentral